UGAGCAAUCUGCCCUUCUCUUUGGAAUAAGCGUUGGAAACGACGUCUAAUGCCGAAUACGACCUCCUUUCGCAUGAUCGGAGGUGGAAAGCUCCGGCGGAGAAGGAUGAGCUCGCGGCCUAUCAGCUAGUUGGUGUGUGUAACGGCCCACCAAGACGACGACGGGUAGCCGGCCUGAGAGGGCGACCGGCCACACGUGGGACUGAGAUACGGCCCAGACCUCCGUACGGGAG
Molecule: ribosomal RNA, 232 nt
Filed under: uncultured bacterium
Lineage: Bacteria
Description: partial 16S ribosomal RNA
Rfam family: Bacterial small subunit ribosomal RNA
Source: RNAcentral